CCUACGGGAGGCAGCAGUGAGGAAUAUUGGUCAAUGGGCUUAAGCCUGAACCAGCCAAGUCGCGUGAGGGAAGACGGCCCUAUGGGUUGUAAACCUCUUUUGUCGGGGAGCAAAGCCGGGGACGUGUCCCGGCCCGGAGAGUACCCGAAGAAAAAGCAUCGGCUAACUCCGUGCCAGCAGCCGCGGUAAUACGGAGGAUGCGAGCGUUAUCCGGAUUUAUUGGGUUUAAAGGGUGCGUAGGCGGGCUGUUAAGUCAGCGGUAAAAUGGCGGGGCUCAACCCCGUCCCGCCGUUGAAACUGGCGGUCUUGAGUGGGCGAGAAGUACGCGGAAUGCGUGGUGUAGCGGUGAAAUGCAUAGAUAUCACGCAGAACUCCGAUUGCGAAGGCAGCAUACCGGCGCCCGACUGACGCUGAGGCACGAAAGCGUGGGGAUCGAACAGGAUUAGAUACCCUGGUAGUC
RNAcentral lists this ribosomal RNA (460 nucleotides) under uncultured bacterium. Its description in RNAcentral is "partial 16S ribosomal RNA". It matches the Rfam family "Bacterial small subunit ribosomal RNA", at positions 338 to 795 of the family's 1533-position model. The record is from RNAcentral.